This is a non-coding RNA of Pelobates cultripes (western spadefoot toad), 424 nucleotides long. Lineage: Eukaryota; Metazoa; Chordata; Amphibia; Anura; Pelobatidae. The record is from the annotation of a GenBank genome assembly.
CUAACAUUCACUUUUUGUGUUUUCUCUUGUAGAGUGGGUUUUCUUGGAUACUGCACCUAUUGCUUAGUUUGCAUUUUUUUUUUUCAACAUAGCAGUGUUAUGGGAUGACAUCUUUGGCACAGAUCAGUGUGUAAAAUAUCUGUCCUAUUAGAUUUUCCGAUUUUAUUGUAAGCACUGUUGUUGUGAAGUGGAAGCACUUACAGCCCAGCUACAAUGUGGUAGAUAAUGCAUACUUACAAAAAGUGCCACUGGAUGCUGUUACAUGUAAUGCAGGGCUGAGUAACCUAUGCAGAGCAUUAAAUGCUUCUAGAACCAAACAUGCUGGAGAGAUAUGAGGAUCUCCCCUGGAGCUGGCUUGACAGAGGUUCAUCCAGGAUUUCUUCUGAUAUCUGAUAGUGUCACAUUGCAGCAGGUGGUGAAUGGC